ACGGCGAGUGAAGCGGGACUAGCUCAGGAUGUGAAUCUGCGCUUUAAUGGCGCCGAAUUGUGGUCUAUAGACCUUGACGUUAUCUGCCGGGCCAAGUUCCUUGGAAAAGGACAGCUGAGAGGGUGAGACUCCCGUCCGCCUGGUAGAGUGAGUCAUGUGUCAACGAGUCGAGUUGUUUGGGAUUGCAGCUCUAAUUUGGUGGUAAAUUCCAUCUAAAGCUAAAUAUUGGUGGGAGACCGAUAGCGUACAAGUACCGUGAGGGAAAGAUGCAAAGAACUUUGAAAAGAGAGUUAAAGAGUACCUGAAAUUGCUGAAACGGAAGCGAAGGAAACCAGUGUUUGUUGGUUCAUAUUUCCCUGGCCACUUGUGGUUUGGGCGCUGUGAGCUUGCGUGUGUUUGUCUUGGUUGAUCCCUUUGGAAGAGCGCAGUCAGAGUUGAUGUCUGUUGCUAGC
RNAcentral lists this ribosomal RNA (452 nucleotides) under Pseudo-nitzschia cuspidata. RNAcentral's name for it is "eukaryotic LSU rRNA". It matches the Rfam family "Eukaryotic large subunit ribosomal RNA", at positions 86 to 553 of the family's 3401-position model. The record is from RNAcentral. Lineage: Eukaryota; Bacillariophyta; Bacillariophyceae; Bacillariales; Bacillariaceae.